RNAcentral lists this transfer RNA (74 nucleotides) under Bacteroidales bacterium. RNAcentral describes it as "tRNA-Pro". Lineage: Bacteria; Pseudomonadati; Bacteroidota; Bacteroidia; Bacteroidales. The record is from RNAcentral.
CGGGAUAUAGUACAGUUGGUUAGUAUGCAUGCUUUGGGAGCAUGAGGUCGCCCGUUCGAGUCGGGCUAUCCCGA